This 560-nucleotide ribosomal RNA is filed under the name uncultured eukaryote. RNAcentral's name for it is "SSU rRNA". It matches the Rfam family "Eukaryotic small subunit ribosomal RNA", at positions 1 to 565 of the family's 1831-position model. The record is from RNAcentral.
GCGGCCGCGGGAUUCGAUUGUAGUCAUAUGCUUGUCUCAAAGAUUAAGCCAUGCAUGUCUAAGUAUAAGCAAUUAUACAGCGAAACUGCGAAUGGCUCAUUAUAUAAGUUAUCGUUUAUUUGAUAGUACCUUACUACUUGGAUAACCGUGGUAAUUCUAGAGCUAAUACAUGCUAAAAAUCCCGACCUCGGAAGGGAUGUGUUUAUUAGAUUAAAAACCAAUGCCCUCCGGGGCUCCUUGGUGAUUCAUGAUAACUAUUCGAAUCGCAUGGCCUUGCGCCGGCGAUGGUUCAUUCAAAUUUCUUCCCUAUCAACUUUCGAUGUUUGGGUAUUGGCCAAACAUGGUUGCAACGGGUAACGGAGGGUUAGGGCUCGACCCCGGAGAAGGAGCCUGAGAAACGGCUACUACAUCCAAGGAAGGCAGCAGGCGCGCAAAUUACCCAAUCCCGACACGGGGAGGUAGUGACAAUAAAUACUGAUACAGGGCUCUUUCGGGUCUUGUAAUUGGAAUGAGUACAAUUUAAAUCCCUUAACGAGGAACAAUUGGAGGGCAAGUCUGGU